UACGGAGGAUCCGAGCGUUAUCCGGAUUUAUUGGGUUUGAAGGGUGCGUAGGCGGUUUGAUAAGUUAGAGGUGAAAUGUCGGGGCUCAACCCCGAAACUGCCUCUAAUACUGUUGGACUAGAGAAUAGUUGCGGUAGGCGGAAUGUAUGGUGUAGCGGUGAAAUGCUUAGAGAUCAUACAGAACACCGAUUGCGAAGGCAGCUUACCAAACUAUAUCUGACGUUGAGGCACGAAAGCGUGGGUAGCAAACAGG
RNAcentral lists this ribosomal RNA (253 nucleotides) under uncultured bacterium. RNAcentral describes it as "partial 16S ribosomal RNA". It matches the Rfam family "Bacterial small subunit ribosomal RNA", at positions 524 to 776 of the family's 1533-position model. The record is from RNAcentral.